UACGGCUCAGUAACACGUGGACAAUCUACCCUAAGGAGGGGGAUAACCCCGGGAAACUGGGGAUAAUACCCCAUAGACUAUGAAUGCUGGAAUGCUUUGUAGUCGAAAGGUCCGCCGCCUUAGGAUGGGUCUGCGGCCGAUUAGGUAGUUGUUGGGGUAACGGCCCAACAAGCCUGUAAUCGGUACGGGUUGUGGGAGCAAGAGCCCGGANAUGGAUUCUGAGACACGAAUCCAGGCCCUACGGGGCGCAGCAGGCGCGAAAACUUUACAAUGCGGGAAACCGUGAUAAGGGAACUCUGAGUGCCCGUUAAAUCGGGCUGUCCAUCAGUUUAAAAAACUGGUGAAGAAAGGGCCGGGCAAGACCGGUGCCAGCCGCCGCGGUAAUACCGGCGGCUCGAGUGGUGGCCACUAUUACUGGGCUUAAAGCGUUCGUAGCUGGUUUGUUAAGUCUCUGGGGAAAUCUUCCGGCUCAACCGGAAGGCGUCUCAGGGAUACUGGCAGACUAUGGACCGGAAGARGUGAGGGGUACUCCAGGGGUAGGAGUGAAAUCCUGUAAUCCUUGGGGGGACCACCUGUGGCGAAGGCGCCUCACCA
Molecule: ribosomal RNA, 594 nt
Filed under: uncultured Methanomicrobiaceae archaeon
Lineage: Archaea; Methanobacteriati; Methanobacteriota; Methanomicrobia; Methanomicrobiales; Methanomicrobiaceae
Description: bacterial SSU rRNA
Rfam family: Archaeal small subunit ribosomal RNA
Source: RNAcentral